GUCAGGAUGGUCGAGCGGUCUAAGGCGCUGCGUUCAGGUCGCAGUCUCCUCUGGAGGCGUGGGUUCGAAUCCCACUUCUGACA
RNAcentral lists this transfer RNA (83 nucleotides) under Danio rerio (zebrafish). RNAcentral's name for it is "tRNA-Leu (CAG) (tRNA-Leu-CAG-22-1)". It matches the Rfam family "tRNA". From Rfam's summary of the family: Transfer RNA (tRNA) molecules are approximately 80 nucleotides in length. Their secondary structure includes four short double-helical elements and three loops (D, anti-codon, and T loops). Further hydrogen bonds mediate the characteristic L-shaped molecular structure. tRNAs have two regions of fundamental functional importance: the anti-codon, which is responsible for specific mRNA codon recognition, and the 3' end, to which the tRNAs corresponding amino acid is attached (by aminoacyl-tRNA synthetases). tRNAs cope with the degeneracy of the genetic code in two manners: having more than one tRNA (with a specific anti-codon) for a particular amino acid; and 'wobble' base-pairing, i.e. permitting non-standard base-pairing at the 3rd anti-codon position. The record is from Rfam by way of RNAcentral. Lineage: Eukaryota; Metazoa; Chordata; Actinopteri; Cypriniformes; Danionidae. RNAcentral also lists the same sequence under 1 other name.